AGGCAGCGCCGUUCCCGGGGCAGGCAGCGCCGUUCCCGGGGCAGGCAGCGCCGUUCCCGGGGCAGGCAGCGCCGUUCCCGGAGCAGGCAGCGCCGUGCCCGCAGCCGCCGCGGACUGGGGGAAAGGUGAAGGGCGCAGGGACGAGCGGGGCCGAGCGGCGCAGAGCCGCAGCCAGCCCCGGGGGCGCCGCCCGGAGCCGAGCGCAGGCUGCGG
Molecule: long non-coding RNA, 213 nt
Organism: Pogoniulus pusillus (Red-fronted tinkerbird)
Lineage: Eukaryota; Metazoa; Chordata; Aves; Piciformes; Lybiidae
Exons: 2
Source: RefSeq, a predicted model, not a curated record